RNAcentral lists this ribosomal RNA (305 nucleotides) under uncultured bacterium. RNAcentral's name for it is "bacterial SSU rRNA". It matches the Rfam family "Bacterial small subunit ribosomal RNA", at positions 334 to 655 of the family's 1533-position model. The record is from RNAcentral.
UUUCCCUACGGGAGGCAGCAGUCGGGAAUAUUGCGCAAUGGAGGAAACUCUGACGCAGUGACGCCGCGUAUAGGAAGAAGUAUUUCGGUAUGUAAAGCUCUAUCAGCAGGGAAGAAAAAAGACGGUACCUGACUAAGAAGCCCCGGCUAACUACGUGCCAGCAGCCGCGGUAAUACGUAGGGGGCAAGCGUUAUCCGGAUUUACUGGGUGUAAAGGGAGCGUAGACGGCAAUACAAGUCGGAAGUGAAAUACCCGGGCUCAACCUGGGAACUGCUUUGGAAACUGUAUGGCUGGAGUGCUGGAGG